Molecule: ribosomal RNA, 410 nt
Filed under: uncultured bacterium
Lineage: Bacteria
Description: bacterial SSU rRNA
Rfam family: Bacterial small subunit ribosomal RNA
Source: RNAcentral
UCGAGAAUCUUCGGCAAUGGGCGCAAGCCUGACCGAGCGACGCCGCGUGGAGGAUGAAGGCCUUCGGGUUGUAAACUCCUGUCGAGGGGGAGGAAGCCGCAAGGUUGACCGAUCCCUGGAGGAAGGACGGGCUAAGUUCGUGCCAGCAGCCGCGGUAAGACGAACCGUCCUAACGUUAUUCGGAAUUACUGGGCUUAAAGCGCGUGUAGGCGGGAUGGUACGUCUGUCGCUGAAAUACCUCGGCUCAACCGAGGAACUGGCGGAGAUACGGCCAUCCUGGAGGGGGGUAGGGGGACCUGGAACUUCCGGUGGAGCGGUGAAAUGCGUUGAGAUCGGAAGGAACGCCCGUGGCGAAAGCGAGGUCCUGGACCCUUUCUGACGCUGAGACGCGAAAGCCAGGGGAGCAAACG